GAUUUCCAUUCUUCUCUGGAUAAAGAUGAAAUUCUCAACAUGACCUAUGGGGCCUUUGUACUCUGUCCCUUGAAUGUCCUCCAUUUUUUAUAUUUUCCUUUAUUUAUGUGAUUAUUUAAUUAAUCUACUUUCUCCAUAUGUUAAUUUGAUAGGGGUGCCAUAACAAAAUAUUACACAACAGAUAGCUUGAACAACAGAAAUUUAUUUUCCUGCAGUUCUGGAGUCUGAAAUUCUAAGAGCAAGAGGUAGCUCCUCCCUUCUUUCUGCUUCUUCACCAGGAGGAUGUAAACAGCAUUCCUCCACUGUAUCCUUCCACCAUGCCCUUCCUGCCUUGGAGCCCACUGACUAUGGACGGAACUCUGUAAAAUCUAUGAGUUAAAAUAAAAUUCU
Molecule: long non-coding RNA, 390 nt
Filed under: Heterocephalus glaber (naked mole-rat)
Lineage: Eukaryota; Metazoa; Chordata; Mammalia; Rodentia; Bathyergidae
Description: lncRNA (ENSHGLG00100045836.1)
Source: RNAcentral